CACGUAGGGCGCGAGCGUUGUCCGGAAUUAUUGGGCGUAAAGAGCUCGUAGGCGGCCUGUUGCGUCCGCUGUGAAAGCCCGGGGCUUAACCCCGGGUCGGCAGUGGAUACGGGCAGGCUAGAGGUAGGUAGGGGAGAAUGGAAUUCCCGGUGUAGCGGUGAAAUGCGCAGAUAUCGGGAGGAACACCGGUGGCGAAGGCGGUUCUCUGGGACGGCACUGACGCUGAGACGCGAAAGCGUGGGGAGCGAACAGG
This 253-nucleotide ribosomal RNA is filed under the name uncultured bacterium. RNAcentral describes it as "partial 16S ribosomal RNA". It matches the Rfam family "Bacterial small subunit ribosomal RNA", at positions 524 to 776 of the family's 1533-position model. The record is from RNAcentral.